RNAcentral lists this ribosomal RNA (331 nucleotides) under uncultured bacterium. RNAcentral's name for it is "bacterial SSU rRNA". It matches the Rfam family "Bacterial small subunit ribosomal RNA", at positions 568 to 899 of the family's 1533-position model. The record is from RNAcentral.
UGUGUAGGCGGUCGUUUAAGUUCGGUGUGAAAUCUCCCGGCUCAACCGGGAGGGAGCGCCGGAAACUGAGCGACUGGAGUGCGGGAGAGGAGAGCGGAAUUCCUGGUGUAGCGGUGAAAUGCGUAGAUAUCAGGAGGAACACCGGUGGUGCAGACGGCUCUCUGGACCGUAACUGACGCUGAGACACGAAAGCGUGGGUAGCAAACAGGAUUAGAUACCCUGGUAGUCCACGCCCUAAACGAUGCAUAUUUGGUGUGGGCAGUUCAUUCUGUCCGUGCCGGAGCUAACGCGUUAAAUAUGCCGCCUGGGGAGUACAGUCGCAAGGCUAGAA